GUUCGAGACGCUGUUCUUCAGCCGCCGCAUUCUUGUCUACGCUGUCCACACCGCCCUCCGGCUACAGUCCCAGCUACAUCAUCGAUGGUGGCUUGCGAUGAUGUCGGCUUGAGGAAUGUCAAAGACAGCCUGCUGGGUGGGCGCCUGGCUGGCCCCUCACUGGCUGGGCUGGACGCCGGGUAAAAAAGGGGCAUAAUAGAACAGAUGGACAUGGAAGAAAAGAACAGACCGGCUUCUCCUUCCUUCCCUCAUCGUCCUCCUCCAGCUUCUUCUCCUCUUCUCUACUCCGGUUCUUUCCUGCUGCUGCCCACUUCCUUCCCAGUCUACCUUCUCUCCUACUCAAUCUAGUUGCUGAUUUCCCUUCUAUGCUCUACUUCCUCUCCAGUUAGUAUUCCAUCGUUGUACGGACUUGAUUGGGCACAAUAUCUCUGUGAGAUUUAACUCUUGCUGGUGUUCCGAGUCGAUUGAGUGCUCGAUUGAGUGUUUGAUCCCCUAGGUCCGUGACACCACUUUUUAUAUUACGACAACAAAGAUAACAAACUCUCUUCUGGAGACGUCGGUUUCUGGUGGGUUGGCAGAAGGUCCGGCACAGAGACGGAUGAAGAUGCGAGCUAAUCAAAGUGGCAAUCGGGUGGCUGGUGGUUUCAUUUGACGUAAUAAUGGUCGACGCGACGCGACGGGACACGAGGAAUGAAUGUGUUCAACUAUACUUUGCACAUAUGUUCCUGCGGCGCUGUUGACGACACGCCUUUGUUCGGACCAAAUUAGAGGACGCCGCACAGGCUUGCAUGGACACAUCGUCUCCAUCAAGCGGCCAGGGCCAUCAGCCGACAUGGACCACUAGGGGUUAAUUUGCUGAAGAAUGACUCGUGCUGGCAAAUAAAUACGACGAUGUUGGUGA
Phragmites australis (common reed) is the source of this 901-nucleotide long non-coding RNA. RefSeq lists it as uncharacterized. NCBI's taxonomy places the organism in Eukaryota, Viridiplantae, Streptophyta, Magnoliopsida, Poales, Poaceae. The transcript has 2 exons. The record is from RefSeq and is a predicted model, not a curated record.